Molecule: ribosomal RNA, 253 nt
Filed under: uncultured bacterium
Lineage: Bacteria
Description: partial 16S ribosomal RNA
Rfam family: Bacterial small subunit ribosomal RNA
Source: RNAcentral
UACGAAGGGGGCUAGCGUUGUUCGGAUUUACUGGGCGUAAAGCGCACGUAGGCGGAUCGUUAAGUCGGGGGUGAAAUCCUGGAGCUCAACUCCAGAACUGCCUUCGAUACUGGGAGUCUCGAGUUCGGGAGAGGUGAGUGGAACUGCGAGUGUAGAGGUGAAAUUCGUAGAUAUUCGCAAGAACACCAGUGGCGAAGGCGGCUCACUGGCCCGAUACUGACGCUGAGGUGCGAAAGCGUGGGGAGCAAACAGG